RNAcentral lists this small nuclear RNA (139 nucleotides) under Microcebus murinus (gray mouse lemur). RNAcentral describes it as "U4 spliceosomal RNA (ENSMICG00000045736.1)". It matches the Rfam family "U4 spliceosomal RNA". From Rfam's summary of the family: U4 small nuclear RNA (U4 snRNA) is a component of the major U2-dependent spliceosome. The structure of U4 snRNA from yeast and human has been reported. Lineage: Eukaryota; Metazoa; Chordata; Mammalia; Primates; Cheirogaleidae. The record is from Rfam by way of RNAcentral.
AGCUUUGUGCAGUGGCAGUAUUGUAGCCAAUGAGGUUUAUCUGAGGUGCAAUUAUUACAAUUGAAAACUUUUCCCAAUACCCCGCCAUGAUGACUUGCAAUAUAGUCGGCAUUGGCAAUUUUGAUGGUCCCUACAGGGA